UACGGAAGGUCCGGGCGUUAUCCGGAUUUAUUGGGUUUAAAGGGAGCGUAGGCCGGAGAUUAAGCGUGUUGUGAAAUGUAGACGCUCAACGUCUGCACUGCAGCGCGAACUGUUUUCCUUGAGUACGCACAAAGUGGGCGGAAUUCCCCGUGUAGCGGUGAAAUGCGUAGAGAUGGGGAGGAACACCAGUGGCGAAGGCGGCCUGCUGGUCUUUAACUGACGCUGAGGCACGAAAGCGUGGGUAGCAAACAGG
This 253-nucleotide ribosomal RNA is filed under the name Segatella copri DSM 18205. RNAcentral describes it as "Prevotella copri DSM 18205 partial 16S ribosomal RNA". It matches the Rfam family "Bacterial small subunit ribosomal RNA", at positions 524 to 776 of the family's 1533-position model. The record is from RNAcentral. Lineage: Bacteria; Pseudomonadati; Bacteroidota; Bacteroidia; Bacteroidales; Prevotellaceae.